UGGGGAAUAUUGGACAAUGGGGGCAACCCUGAUCCAGCCAUGCCGCGUGUGUGAAGAAGGCCUUUUGGUUGUAAAGCACUUUAAGCAGUGAAGAAGACUCCAUGGUUAAUACCCAUGGACGAUGACAUUAGCUGCAGAAUAAGCACCGGCUAACUCUGUGCCAGCAGCCGCGGUAAUACAGAGGGUGCAAGCGUUAAUCGGAAUUACUGGGCGUAAAGCGAGCGUAGGUGGCUUGAUAAGUCAGAUGUGAAAGCCCCGGGCUUAACCUAGGAACGGCAUCUGAUACUGUUAGGCUAGAGUAGGUGGGAGGAAGGUAGAAUUCCAGGUGUAGCGGUGAAAUGCGUAGAGAUCUGGAGGAAUACCGAUGGCGAAGGCAGUCUUCUGGCAUCAUACUGACACUGAGGUUCGAAAGCGUGGGUAGCAAACAG
This 428-nucleotide ribosomal RNA is filed under the name uncultured bacterium. RNAcentral's name for it is "bacterial SSU rRNA". It matches the Rfam family "Bacterial small subunit ribosomal RNA", at positions 355 to 775 of the family's 1533-position model. The record is from RNAcentral.